CUCCCUUUUCAAAUAGCAAAACACCCUUUUCAAAUAGCAAAACUCCCUUUUCAAAUAGCAAAACUCCCUUUUCAAAUAGCAAAACUCCCUUUUCAAAUAGCAAAACUCCCUUUUCAAAUAGCAAAGCACCCUUUUCAAAUAGCAAAACUCCCUUUUCAAAUAGCAAAACUCCCUUUUCAAAUAGCAAAACACCCUUUUUCAAAUAGCAAAACUCCCUUUUCAAAUAGCAAAACUCCCUUUUCAAAUAGCAAAACUCCCUUUUCAAAUAGUAAAACUCCCUUUUCAAAUAGCAAAACUCCCUUUUCAAAUAGCAAAACUCCCUUUUCAAAUAGCAAAACUCCGUUUGCUACCUCGUAGUCUGAACAUACUUUUCAGAAACCUGUACUUUAUGAACCUUAUUAGUUAUUGUAAAGACUAAGUACACAUUGAGUAUUGAGUUUGUUCUAGCGCAAGUACGCGGCAACAACCAUUGGCGUACCAGUCAGGUACGACUAGAAAUCUUGAAUGAUCGCACCCUGACUACCAAAUACCUAAAAUAUCCAAAUUAUUUUUGCCUUCAAAGGUUGGCGAGGAACCGCCAUACAACGAGAUACAUGUCCGGCGGCGACGACGCUCUCGAAAGAAAAGAUGACACGCAAAAAACCAGCUGCUGGAAUUGGAGAAUUCAGCACAAAAAUGAAUGUUUCUGAACAAAGCGCAUAUAUCAAUCUUUAUCUCAGUAGUGCUUGUGACAGAUCCCGAGGAUUUAAUUAUAAACUAUAGAACUACAUGUCUAAUUGGAAAUUUAAGAAUAAACUUACUAGUUGUAGAAUAUGUAAAUAAAGGAAAAAUUAAUAAAUAAAUGUUGACUGUGUGCAAGGCCGAAUUUUGGUGAAAAUAGUGGGUGAGGUGGA
Molecule: non-coding RNA, 893 nt
Organism: Paramuricea clavata
Lineage: Eukaryota; Metazoa; Cnidaria; Anthozoa; Malacalcyonacea; Plexauridae
Source: the annotation of a GenBank genome assembly